RNAcentral lists this ribosomal RNA (253 nucleotides) under uncultured bacterium. RNAcentral's name for it is "partial 16S ribosomal RNA". It matches the Rfam family "Bacterial small subunit ribosomal RNA", at positions 524 to 776 of the family's 1533-position model. The record is from RNAcentral.
UACGUAGGGGGCAAGCGUUGUCCGGAAUUAUUGGGCGUAAAGCGCGCGCAGGCGGUCCUUUAAGUCUGAUGUGAAAGCCCACGGCUCAACCGUGGAGGGUCAUUGGAAACUGGGAGACUUGAGUGCAGGAGAGAAGAGUGGAAUUCCACGUGUAGCGGUGAAAUGCGUAGAGAUGUGGGGGAACACCAGUGGCGAAGGCGACUCUCUGGCCUGUAACUGACGCUGAGGCGCGAAAGCGUGGGGAGCAAACAGG